Molecule: ribosomal RNA, 253 nt
Filed under: uncultured bacterium
Lineage: Bacteria
Description: partial 16S ribosomal RNA
Rfam family: Bacterial small subunit ribosomal RNA
Source: RNAcentral
UACGGAGGGUGCGAGCGUUAUCCGGAAUUACUGGGUUUAAAGGGUGCGUAGGCGGCCAUGUAAGUCAGGAGUGAAAGUUUGCGGCUCAACCGUAAAAUUGCUUUUGAUACUGCAUGGCUGGAAUCAGGAUGAGGUCAGCGGAAUGUGGCAUGUAGCGGUGAAAUGCUUAGAUAUGACAUAGAACACCGAUUGCGAAGGCAGCUUGCUACACGAUCAUUGACACUGAGGCACGAAAGCGUGGGGAUCAAACAGG